Molecule: long non-coding RNA, 1794 nt
Filed under: Phascolarctos cinereus (koala)
Lineage: Eukaryota; Metazoa; Chordata; Mammalia; Diprotodontia; Phascolarctidae
Description: lncRNA (ENSPCIG00000030823.1)
Source: RNAcentral
AUGAAGAAGAGGAGGGAGCCUGUCAGUGAAGGAGCGGAGAGUGCAUGGACACUGUCCAGGGGCCUGCAGGACCUUCUGACCUGCCCCGCCUGUGGAGGCUUCUUCAGUGACCCUGUAACAGAGCAUUCUGGUGACACCUUCUGCCGGGAUUGCCUUCCUCAGAAAUCCCAGCCUGCGUACCUCCAUACCAACUGGAAGAUGCAGAACCUGGUACGGCUGGCCAAGCAGCUCCUUGAGGAGCCCCAGGCCACUCUAGAGGGAUGGUGUGCCAAGCACCAGGAAAACUGGAGCUUUUUCUGUAGAGAAGACAAUGAGAAAAUCUGCCUAGUGUGCCACUACUCCAUCCUUCACCAGGGCCACACCCUGACCCAGCUGCAAGAUCUAGACACAAAACAAGAGGGUGCUUCUGAAGAAGAGGGCGAGACGGCCUCCAGAUCUCUGAACCACUGAAUUCUCUUCCCCGGGUCUUUCCAUGGGGUAGAACACUGGGCCCAAAAGAACUCUGCCGUUACCUUCACCCGCACCCCCUCUGGAAUCCUCCUGGAAACUCAGAGUCGGUUAAUCACGGACACGUCUUUAAGGAAGGGAGCGUGCAGGAUGGAAGAAAUUUCAAGUUGAAGCCUGAGAGAAAUUGCCAUUUUACUAUUCUGAGGGUACCCCAAGAUUAACAUGUCUGUUUUCUGUGCGUUUCCUUACCAGGAAGGUGCACUGGACACAGACCAGAGUAGGAGCUGCAGGAAGCCCAGUCUUGCUCACUGUCCCCAGCUGACCUCGUUAAGCCGUGCACCCCAGGCCGGCCUGAACCCUCCAACAGAACGUCCUGCUUCUGUGCCUCACUUGUUCCUGGGAAGACUGGCCCUUCUGUUUCCUGACGCCUCCCCAGUCCUCCCCUUUGUGCUUGUCGAGCAGAAAUCUCCCCAGCUUGUCCUGGGUGGUGGGCUCCUUUCUACUGUGUAAUGCGGUGCCUCGGGACUAGGGUCUCCUUUUCCUCCUAAUACAACUUUUCUGCUUUCAGUCCGGCUUGGACUCUUCUUCAUUUAGAAGGGUGCACUUUGUUCCACUGCCCUGUUGACACUGUUAUAUUAAUAAGCAAUUAUUAAUUUAGGAUCCAGGCUUUUGCUCCUUGGCUUCCCAUUUCAGGCCCAACCCCUGUAAAAAGUCAAUCUCUGAAGGACAGGAUUUAGAUCUCCUAGCCCUCAAGGUACAUGGGCAUUAAUGCUGGGCAAGACGCCACCCAGGGAGGAGACCUUACUCAUGUUUAGACUAUAAAUAGAAUCCAGGCUGGGCACGUUUUUGCCUGAAGAAGAACAGCCCCUGUCCUUGUACCCCUACAUUAGAAUUUAGGGUGACUCAGCUCAUGAAAGAGAAAACCAAUCUGAGUGGUCUGGAUAGAGGUGGCUGAGUCUCAUGGUCAAGCCAAGUUCUCAGCAGGAGGAGCUGAAGCCUAGUCUAGCCCAGCUCCCCAUUAAAUGUCCACCAAUCAGGGUUGAGUUUCAUUUGUGAAGGGAAUUCCCUUUCCUGGAUUACUUACACACCUUUCAAGCUCUCCAUGUUUUCUCUUUGGUUGUGGAGAGAAACCACUGAUCAGUUUAUGAGCAGAUAUCCUAAUAAGUUGAUUAUUUAAUACCAAGAACUGUCUGUGUGGGUUUUUCACUCCUGACAGGGUUCUUAGCAGCCUAGACUGUGAUGCUGAUUCAGCCUGAAACCUAGUGGUCCUUCUUGUUUGUAGCGUGAAGAAUUUUUACCUUGUAGUCACCUAAUAAAGUAUACUCUUCUCUUGUCUGCUGGAUGGUG